AGAAACGUGUGCGCCGAUUGACUAAGGGUUCCUGGGUCAAGCUGAUCUGCCCAGGGUAAGUCGGGACCUAAGGCGAGGCCGACAGGCGUAGUCGAUGGAUAACCGGUUGAUAUUCCGGUACCCGCUGUGAAGCGUCAAACAUUGAAUCCAGUGAUGCUAAGCCCGUGAAGCCGUUCCGGACCCUUCGGGGAAUGGAAAGUGGUGGAGCCGGUGGCCCGAGCUGGUAGUAGGUGAGUGAUGGGGUGACGCAGGAAGGUAGUCCAUCCCGGGCGGUGGUUGUCCCGGGGUAAGGGUGUAGGACGUCAGGUAGGUAAAUCCGCCUGGCAUGUGUCUGAGACCUGAUGCCGAGCCGAUUGUGGUGAAGUGGAUGAUCCUAUGCUGUCGAGAAAAGCCUCUAGCGAGUUUCAUGGCGGCCCGUACCCUAAACCGACUCAGGUGGUCAGGUAGAGAAUACCGAGGCGUUCGGGUGAACUAUGGUUAAGGAACUCGGCAAAAUGCCCCCGUAACUUCGGGAGAAGGGGGGCCAU
RNAcentral lists this non-coding RNA (527 nucleotides) under Streptomyces sp. NRRL F-6602. RNAcentral describes it as "bacterial LSU rRNA". It matches the Rfam family "Bacterial large subunit ribosomal RNA", at positions 1324 to 1754 of the family's 2925-position model. The record is from RNAcentral. Lineage: Bacteria; Bacillati; Actinomycetota; Actinomycetes; Kitasatosporales; Streptomycetaceae.